RNAcentral lists this ribosomal RNA (393 nucleotides) under uncultured bacterium. RNAcentral describes it as "partial 16S ribosomal RNA". It matches the Rfam family "Bacterial small subunit ribosomal RNA", at positions 523 to 918 of the family's 1533-position model. The record is from RNAcentral.
AUACGGAGGAUGCAAGCGUUAUCCGGAUUUAUUGGGUUUAAAGGGUGCGUAGGCGGGGGAUUAAGCGGGAGGUGAAAUGCAACUGCUCAACAGGGGAACUGCCUCGCGAACUGGUUGUCUUGAAUGCUCCUGCCGGGGGAGGAAUGUGGGGUGUAGCGGGGAAAUGCAUGGAUAUCACGAGGAACUCCGAUUGCGCAGGCAGCUUACUAAACUACUACUGACGCUCAGGCACGAAGGCGUGGGGAUCAAACAGGAUUAGAUACCCUGGUAGUCCACGCAGUAAACGAUGAUUACUAGCUGUUUGCGAUACAAUGUAAGCGGCUGAGCGAAAGCGUUAAGUAAUCCACCUGGGGAGUACGUUCGCAAGAAUGAAACUCAAAGGAAUUGACGGGG